UGUCUCUGUUAAUGGCAAUGCUUGCUUAAAUCUUAUUCUGUAAUAUCAUGGGUUCUAUUAUUUUUUAGGACAAUUUUGUGACAGACCUGGCCUGGCAACUCCAAAUGGCCUCUGUGAUGAUGGAUACUUCUGUACCCAAGGGUCCUUGUGGUCUCGCCCCUCUGAGGUAUCCAGCAAUGGAGGGCCCUGCCCUGCAGGUCAUUCCUGUCCCAAAGGGAGUCAUGCUCCCCAGUCUUGUCCUCCAGGAACAUUUUCACAGUCUGUAGCUCAACACCAAUGUUCUGACUGUCCAGAGGGAUUUUAUUGUCCUGCACAGUCAUCUAAUAUAACCAUCUGCCCUGAAGGACAUUACUGCCCAAAGAAGACAGAAUAUGCAGCACAGUACCCAUGUCCUCCAGGUACAUUCAGCGGCAUUCAGGGAGCCACUGACAUUGGCACAUGCCUGCCCUGCCCACCUGGAAAGUUUUGUUCCAGACCCGGACUAGAGAGACCAGAAGGUUAUUGCGCCCCUGGCUGGUUCUGCUAUGCAGGAUCAGUUUCUGA
Molecule: long non-coding RNA, 543 nt
Organism: Rana temporaria (common frog)
Lineage: Eukaryota; Metazoa; Chordata; Amphibia; Anura; Ranidae
Exons: 3
Source: RefSeq, a predicted model, not a curated record